GUUUAGCCCUGAUUGCAGCAAUUGUUUGAGCUCUUUUUUAGAGCAGUUUCGAUUGUAAAUUUUGAAGAAUGAAAAAUUGCAAUUCGAACAAACUAAAAAAAGCGAGUGCGGAAAGCAGGAAAUAGC
This 126-nucleotide unclassified non-coding RNA is filed under the name Polaribacter sp. KT 15. RNAcentral describes it as "Flavo-1 RNA". The record is from RNAcentral. Lineage: Bacteria; Pseudomonadati; Bacteroidota; Flavobacteriia; Flavobacteriales; Flavobacteriaceae.